GGGCGUGUAGCUCAGUUGGUUAGAGCGCUGUCCUCACACGACAGAGGUCAGAGGUUCGAGCCCUCUCACGCCCACCA
This 77-nucleotide transfer RNA is filed under the name Patescibacteria group bacterium. RNAcentral describes it as "tRNA-Val". It matches the Rfam family "tRNA". Rfam says of the family: Transfer RNA (tRNA) molecules are approximately 80 nucleotides in length. Their secondary structure includes four short double-helical elements and three loops (D, anti-codon, and T loops). RNAcentral also lists the same sequence under 1 other name. The record is from RNAcentral.